Sinocyclocheilus rhinocerous is the source of this 2258-nucleotide RNA transcript. It is a transcript of the gene named insulin-like growth factor II, with no coding region annotated. The record is from RefSeq and is a predicted model, not a curated record. The transcript is spliced from 5 exons. Lineage: Eukaryota; Metazoa; Chordata; Actinopteri; Cypriniformes; Cyprinidae.
CUAACACCAACUGGGGAAACUAAACCGACUUUCUUAACCAAAUACAACAACACAGCAAUUUUUUUAAUUUUAAUUUUAUUUUUUUUAUGUUGACAUGGAGGACCAACUGAAACAUCAUGCUGUUUGCCAUACCUGCUUGAGAACAGACAGUUCCAUAAAUAAGGUCAUAAAGAUGUACUGGUCCAUACGGAUGCCCAUAUGCAUACUGUUUUUAACCCUGUUUGCCUUCGAAGUGGCUUCUGCUGAAACAUUAUGUGGAGGAGAGCUGGUGGACGCACUACAGUUUGUGUGUGGAGAAAGAGGUUUCUAUUUCAGUCGACCAACUAGCAGGUCGAAUAGUCGACGUUCUCAAAAUCGUGGGAUUGUGGAAGAGUGUUGUUUUAACAGUUGUAACCUAGCUCUUCUAGAACAGUACUGCGCUAAACCUGUCAAGUCAGAGAGGGACGUUUCAGCCACAUGCCUACAGGUCAUCCCGGCGAUGCCUGCAUUAAAACAGGAGGUCCCAAGAAAACACGUGACCGUGAAAUAUUCCAAAUACGACGUGUGGCAACGAAAGGCCGCCCAGAGGCUACGGAGGGGUGUCCCCGCCAUCCUGCGGGCCAAGAAGUUUAGGCGGCAGGCGGAGAGAAUCAGGGCCCAGGAGCAACUGCACCACCACAGGCCUCUCAUCACGCUUCCCAGCAAGCUGCCGCCCAUCCUUCAUCCGACAGAAGACUACGUCAGCCACAAGUGAAACCAGGAUCAUUUGCACAGAGUCGAUGAAAAAAAGACUAGGGGAUCAAAGCUUUUUUUGUCUCUGACGUCCUUUCUGUGGCAGUCCUCAACAACCCUUCUUCCUUCCCCACCAGACGUGCUCACACGCUCUUCCAGUUUCUAUUCUUGCUGUUUCAUUCACCAACAAAAAGUCACAUCACAAACGAAAGGAACGCAAUUCAGGUGAAGAAGCAAAGGAAAGAACGAAGAAGCCACGGAACGCCGAACGUUUCGCCGGUUUGGAGGACAUCGGAGCGCGAGGAACAGCUUGAGCUAGCAUGAAAGAACCCAUUCCACCGCAUUCUCCCGAGACAAAAGUAUCUCUCUUUUAGUCCUUUUACAUAUUAGUUUGCACCUGUAACUAUAAAGGGACAUCCACACUGUAAGGAAUUGUUGUAAAAUUAGAUUCCUGUUCCAGCACCUUGUAAUCACAAAUGAAAAGCAGAGAAGAGUCUGCAAAUUGCACAUCGCCACGGAUUACGUCAAAGUUCUUGUUAAGUAAAUAAAAAAGGCACUAUUUUUUUAUGGACUAUGAACGUGUAGCUCAAAAAAAUGUCAUGGUGCUAGCUUUGGGAACGGACUCAAAGGAGAAGGGGUUGAAAAAGCACUUUUUUUUUUUUUUUUUUUCCUUUGAAACUUUAUUAAACUUUCCGUUUUAAGGAAAGUGUGACUUUUGAAAGAGAAAACAAGAGCACGAGGGAUAUCGCUGCAUGCAGACGUGUACGUAAGACGCAACGUAUGCAUUGGAUCCUGGCGCUGCCGUUGCGGUAAAGGAAGGAGCAGUGUGGGGACGCCGAAGGGAUCACGUUCGAGCACCUGGAUGUGGAGAACUCAGCUCCUUUCGAGCGUGGCUGCACAAAACCCCUGCUUUGCACUGCAGGAUGAGGGACAUUGUGAUCUUGAAAAAGUGGGAUGUUUGUAUUUUCUAUGUUCUUUUUCGUGAAAAUGCUUCAAGGAAAAAAAGAAAAGAAAAAAAAAAAGAUCCAGUUUGGUUUCUGGUACCGUGACAUUCUUGUUGUUGCAAAAUAGGCUUUGUGUUUUUGUAACGUUAUUUUACAGUUCUGAAAAAAAAGGCACAAAUAUCAAUUCAAAGGGAAAAAACGCAAUAAUGUCAACUAACAUACAUUUUUAACGUUUAUCCGUAGUAUUCACAUGCUUUUGCCUGAAAACAAAUACUUGAAUAUAUAUAUAAAUAUAUAUGAAAUAAAUAUGAAAAUAUAUAUUAUAAUUAGUUUCCAGGGACAUCAUGUAAUAUUCUUUUAGUCUGAGCUGUAUCUUGCGUAAUGAGCCUCCAAGCUUCUUUUUGUUUGUUCAUUUAAGUACAAAUAUGGGCACUGUAUAAAGGCAUUAUUUAUUUUGUUAUAAAAUUAUAUAUUACAAUCGGUCCAAAUACAGUAAUAUACAUAGCACUGAUGCUCAACUGAUGGAUUUUAUUUUAUAUGCUCUCUUAUUUUCCCAUUUUACAUGUAAAUGCUUUUUGUAGAUGCUUUGUACCAAAAAAAAAA